Molecule: ribosomal RNA, 426 nt
Filed under: uncultured bacterium
Lineage: Bacteria
Description: bacterial SSU rRNA
Rfam family: Bacterial small subunit ribosomal RNA
Source: RNAcentral
GUGAGGAAUUUUCCGCAAUGGGCGAAAGCCUGACGGAGCAAUGCCGCGUGAAGGAUGAAGGCCUAUGGGUUGUAAACUUCUUUUCUCAGAAAAGAAUUAUGACGGUAUCUGAGGAAUAAGCAUCGGCUAACUCUGUGCCAGCAGCCGCGGUAAGAUAGAGGAUGCAAGCGUUAUCCGGAAUGAUUGGGCGUAAAGCGUCUGUAGGUUGUUUAAAAAGUAUUCUGUCAAAGAUUAGGGCUUAACCCUAGAUAGGCAGAAUAAACUUUUAAGCUAGAGUUUGGUAGAGGCAGAGGGAAUUCCCUGUGGAGCGGUGAAAUGCGUAGAUAUCGGGAGGAACACCAAAGGCGAAGGCACUCUGCUGGGCCAAUACUAACACUGAGAGACGAAAGCGAGGGGAGCAAAUGGGAUUAGAUACCCUGGUAGUCC